UUUAACAUUUGCAGGCAGGGGUGGAAAAAGAAGACCUUAAUUAAUCACAGCGCCCUCGUUAGAGCCCACUGUGAUCCCGGCGCUCGUUAGUCCCGCGGGUGAUUAAUUGAAAUUAAUUGAAAAGCCGGUGACAUUUACCAGCGUGGUUGAGCGGAAGUAUCGAGUGAUAAUCUCGCAGUCGUGAUUUUGGAGGUAAAUCUGCGGCUGUGGGUCUGAUUGAGGUCACCGUGAGCGGCUUCAAACUCACUGAACAGAAACACUUACUGCUCCGAGUACCAUGGUAAUGCUGUUUUACUAGAUAGGCUCAUGAUGGGUUUAGUGCCUCAACAGACACCGUGCAUCUAAAAAUGACCUGAAAAUCAAAUAUGAAGUGGAAAAUAUUGCCUCAAACUCGACCUCGUCUCUGAAACAGACAAAAGCAAGAACUCAUUUUGAGCUAUUAAACCGUCCUCAUCGUCAAGAUCUGCUGUGGAGGAAAGCACAUGUUCACCUAGUUCUCGGAGACUCUGAUGAUGAUGAUCCUUCAGCUUCCCGUCGCCGUGGUAGCAACAGUCCUCUUUGCAUCCGAUCGGUCUGUUGCCAUGGCAGCCGUGAUGAGCCGGGAGGAACCGUGGCGACCCCAGCGAGAGACCGUCUGUAUCUGUUACCAUGGAGCCCAGCGUGAGUGUAGCAGCGUCAAACCUGUUCAGAUUCAAACUCAGAAAGAUGCUAAUUUGCUUAGUCAAGCUUUUCACUGUCCAAAAUCUCCUUGACACUAAUUUACAGAACAAAGUACUACAAGUCAAGCAUCACGGUUACUGUUGUGAUUCGGAACGAACCUCAGACAUUAAA
Molecule: long non-coding RNA, 831 nt
Organism: Sinocyclocheilus rhinocerous
Lineage: Eukaryota; Metazoa; Chordata; Actinopteri; Cypriniformes; Cyprinidae
Exons: 3
Source: RefSeq, a predicted model, not a curated record